AGCGAACGCUGGCGGCAGGCUUAACACAUGCAAGUCGAGCGGGCACUUCGGUGUCAGCGGCAGACGGGUGAGUAACACGUGGGAACGUACCCUUCGGUUCGGAAUAACGCUGGGAAACUAGCGCUAAUACCGGAUACGCCCUUUUGGGGAAAGGUUUACUGUCGAAGGAUCGGCCCGCGUCUGAUUAGCUAGUUGGUGGGGUAAUGGCCUACCAAGGCGACGAUCAGUAGCUGGUCUGAGAGGAUGAUCAGCCACACUGGGACUGAGACACGGCCCAGACUCCUACGGGAAGCAGCAGUGGGGAAUAUUGGACAAUGGGCGCAAGCCUGAUCCAGCCAUGCCGCGUGAGUGAUGAAGGCCUUAGGGUUGUAAAGCUCUUUUGUCCGGGACGAUAAUGACGGUACCGGAAGAAUAAGCCCCGGCUAACUUCGUG
This 433-nucleotide ribosomal RNA is filed under the name uncultured bacterium. Its description in RNAcentral is "partial 16S ribosomal RNA". It matches the Rfam family "Bacterial small subunit ribosomal RNA", at positions 29 to 507 of the family's 1533-position model. The record is from RNAcentral.